CAUUCACGUGACCAGCUCAGAUAUUGUCCAUAGGAGAACAAAAUAUCUUGAUGAAAAUGAAUAAUUCAGCUAAUCACCCAGAUGUGGUAGCUAUAUGGUGCCACACAGCUGGAUGAUCUGAAACAGCUAGCUGUUUGGUGACUUGCAAAUAAAGCAUGUAGAUAAUAGAAUCUCUCUUUUUUUCCCUCCAGAUUUUUGGCAUCACUUAGACAUAAUCUAAAUGAUAUGGCAACAUAUGGUAAAAUCUCUCACAUUCAAAGGCAUGCAAGCAGCUAGCUAACACUUUCUACUAAAAAAAUUUGCUCAUAGGUAUGUUGAUGAAUAUAAGAUUCUUACAAAGCACAUCGUUUGAAAGAAAUAUGGCAGCAAAACAAACUGCUGCAUUCAAAGCAGGGAUAUUGAAAAAUGUCAGGCAAACAUUUUUAACCUCAUGUUUGUGUGCAGUCUGGUCAAAAGAGAAUAGAUUUUCUUUUAUGGAAGUAGUUUUAAAAGGGGCUAAAAGGCAAAGAUUUAGUGUUUGCAAGAAAUCCUUCAGGUUUGCCUAAGCUUCAAGAAUUCCGUCUUUGGCAUCCAGCUAUUCUCAUUAAAUAAAUAUUUUUUUGUUUCUGAUGUGUUCUGUUUGAAGGGGCCAGUUUAAUGUUAUGCUUUGAAAUUAAUUACUAUAGAAAGUCUAUGUAAAUAUGACUGUAAAACAGAAAUCAAACUGGACAGGACACAAAGUAGAUGAGUGGGAAGCUAAAAUAAACACCACAACAUGUGAGAGGUGGAAGGUUUAAAGAGUUUUUAGAUAGUCAGUAUGUUAGUUUCAAUUUGUAGAGCCCAAUCUUUAAGUGCUCUUCUGCAAAUAAGGGAUGAUUAAAGUUAUAGAGCAAGAAGAGAAUUUAUUGCAUUGGAUUUUUCAUUCCAAGUGCAGAGCUUUAAAGAAUAAGAGAAUCUGAGAACUGGGAUGGUAAAGAACAGCUAUCCAGGGUCACAAGUGUAAAUGCCUGAGCCCAUGCAAGUAAUUCACGGGAGUGAAGCAGGACAGAAAAUAGGCAUGUAGGCACAAUUGGGCAGCUCCAGGCAAAGAGGAGAGUAUCCUGGUGCAGAUAAUCAGCUCUAGCCUAUUGCCGCCAGGCAGGAAGCUGACUCAGCAUUAAGGGCUGCUCCAACUUUUUAGGAAAACCUGGAAUUCUAGCUUUUUAUGUACUGUUUCUAAAAUGUUUAAGUUUUGAUUCAUUCAUCAGUCAGCCUAGUGAUCUCCAGCUUGCUGCUUUUCAUCUAGUCUAUCCACACAUCUUAUAGAUGUGGAAACCAGGUCCAGAGAAGUCAGUGCCCUGCUGAAAGUCCAGUUGGGCUAAGUGGCAGCACUAGAACUUGAACCCAGAUUAUCUGCCUCCAGCAUUACUUCCACAGUGAAGACAGUGUUCUACUCAUAACAGGUUUCAACAAGUGAACAAUUCCAUAGAUUCAUAAAGGUUUUAAUAAUUAAAUUCUAGUAUACCCUUGGAAAUAUCUCUAAGAUUAUUAUUUACUCAAAAAAUUUUUGUCAUUUGUCUUUCUUAUAAAAUGUCUAUUUUUUUACUUCAUUCAGCUCACUUUUUCUUUUCCUAUAUUUAAUAUUUUUUUGUUGAACAAUGUUUCCACAUUCUCUCUGCUCUAUACAUAUAUCAUCUAAAUUUCUAUAUUUGACUCUUAUUCCUUGCAAAUUUUUGUCCUUUGUCUUUCUCAUAAAAUGUCUGAAUUUUUAAAAGUUUCAUUCAGCUCAUUCUUUCUUGCAUUUAAUAUUUUUUCUUUGUUGAAAAAUGCUUCCAUAUUCUCUUUACAUAUAUAUUAUCUAAAUUUCUAUAUUCAGCUCUUACUCCUUACAACUCAGUCUCUCAAGCUCUGAAUGGAUCUUUAAUUGAUUAUAUCAGAGGGGAGAAAAUAUAAAUUUGUAAAUCUGAACAUUAUGCAACUGGAGCUAGUUAAAAGAAUGCCUCUUCCAAGAAGGAUACCACUACAUAUUCCCCAUAGAAUAUGAGGAGGAUGCCCAUCUGUCUUCAAACCUUCAGAUCUUGAAUUCAAUGCCUGUAAGAGAAGAAGUACUUAAAGAGGCAGAUGUGCAUACUCUGGCUAGGACUUCUUUGUAUGACUUCAGAUAAUUUUUGGAAAAGUUUGUGUUCAAAGGUAUAAGGUGCAGGGAAAGAAAAACUGUUCUCAGGACACAGGGGUAAAACACAGUAAGGGGUCUAUUUCUCUUGGACUCUUAGCCACACCCAUACCAUAACACCAGGCUAGGGACAGUGUUUCUCACUUUUAUUUAGACUUGAUGGGAAAAUAUGCUGUGAUUCUGUUACUAAUAGUCUCCUACAUUUGAACUGCAUGUUAGUUCCCAAAAGACUUCCACAUGUUGCUUUCUUUAUUUUAUAAUGAGAAAACUGAGACUCAGAAAGGGUGAGAUACUUACUCAAUGUCUCCAGCCAAGUCAAGGAAGAGCUAGACUAGAACUGGAUCAAUUCCAGUUCUUCUGAGCACUCUUUUAUCUUUAGGGUUGCUCUAACCAGCCUCCAUGUCAUGACAAUCCAUGUUAGAUCACCUACUGGAAUGAUUUUGUACAUUUCCCUACCCUAGGUAAAGCCGUUGUAAAGACAAUGGCUAUACAUGAAAGCAAUUAAAAAUAUUAAUAGAAGUCUCUAUCGACUGAGGGCUGUUAUGGUAGAAAAGGAAGAAACAUUUUCCUGGCUAGGAUUUUCAUACUAGCAAAUUGGCUAUUCUGACUUAAAUUCAUAUUGUUACUAAUUGGUGUUAGAAUUUGUAUUCUUGACUGUGCAUGUGCUAAGUAGAGAUUUUCCUUACUUGUUUGAUUAUGGAAUAGUGCACACAUUUUACCUUAUGAAAGAAGGAAACAGCUUGUGCUGCCUCAGGAGGAAAUAUCUCAUCUAAUAAUUAUGCUUUGAGGCAUUGGCAUAGCUAAAUGCUGACCCAUGGGCAGGCCAUGGAAAGAAUCACGGAAAAAGCAGCUUUGUUCAGGGCUUUUUCCUAACUGGAUUUAUAAAACAAAUGUCUUUAGAGUAAAGCACUGGUGAAGCAGCAAACAGGCAGAUUAUUAAAGCAUCCAUCAUGAAGUUACAAGUGGGCCCAGGAAGGGUGCCAGUCCUUCUGACAGGGAUGCCUAGCUGAAAAUUUUUUGUGAAUUAUCAAGAGUUCCCCCAAAGAAACCUCUAGGCAGGAAAAAGGAAAAGACAAAGUGACUCCUUUGCAACUCUACUUCAGUAGUUUCUGAACUGUAGCUUCAGAAACCUAUCAAGGAAAGGGUCAGUUACAUAUAGGAGGCUGAGUUUUAGAGACUGGACAACUGAAUAUUCAGGAUUAUUGUAGUGACGGUACCUUGAGCAAGGCUACUUAUAGACUGGUUUGUUCAUAUGAAUGAGAACUACAUGUUUACAAUGUCAAGUGCUUUUUCUCAUCUGAUGAAAUGAUAGAAUAUGUCUUUUUGUAUUAAUAGAUUCACUUUUUAUUUAUGGUCUGAUUAACUAUACUGUAAUUCAAUUCAGUUCCUAUAGGAAUGUACUAAAUUUUUGCUUCACCCUCAGUUUUGGCCAAAUACUAUUUGGCUUUAGCUUUGGCCUUGGCCCCAUGACCCUUAAGGCCGAGUAACCAAAUGUUCUACUUCAGUGUUGUCAAUGACAUCUCUAAAUUUGGGAUGACCAGUGAUUGAGUGAUUGUGUUAGUUAUCAUCACGUAUAAUCAGCAUAAUAAAAUCAAUAAUAGGAACAAAUUCUGUCCAUCUGAAUAAUCACAUUAAAAUACAGGUAAACAAUAUGGAAUUCCUGUUGUGGCACAGAGAAAAGAGGAAAUGAAUCUGACUAGGAUCCAUGAGGAUACAGAUUUGAUCCCUGGCCCAGCUGAGUGGGUUAAGGAUCCUAUGUGGCUGUGGCUGUGGUGUGGGCCAGUUGUUGUAGCUCCAAUUUGACCCAUAGUCUGGGAACUUCCAUAUACCACA
Molecule: long non-coding RNA, 3964 nt
Filed under: Sus scrofa (pig)
Lineage: Eukaryota; Metazoa; Chordata; Mammalia; Artiodactyla; Suidae
Description: lncRNA (ENSSSCG00000059121.1)
Source: RNAcentral